This 877-nucleotide ribosomal RNA is filed under the name uncultured delta proteobacterium. RNAcentral's name for it is "bacterial SSU rRNA". It matches the Rfam family "Bacterial small subunit ribosomal RNA", at positions 56 to 896 of the family's 1533-position model. Lineage: Bacteria; Deltaproteobacteria. The record is from RNAcentral.
UGCAACGUCGUACGCGAAAGCCGCAUUUCGAGUGUCAGGAUGUAGUAAAGUGGCGCACGGGUGAGUAACGCGUGGAUAAUCUGCCUUCGGGCUUGGGACAACUCCGGGAAACUGGAGCUAAUACCGAAUAAGACCACAGAGUCCUCGGAUUCAGUGGCCAAAGGUGGCCUCUUCUUGAAAGCCAUCGCCCGUUGAUGAGUCCGCGUCCCAUUAGCUAGUUGGUGAGGUAACGGCUCACCAAGGCUCCGAUGGGUAGCUGGUCUGAGAGGAUGACCAGCCACACUGGAACUGAGACACGGUCCAGACUCCUACGGGAGGCAGCAGUCGGGAAUCUUGGGCAAUGGGCGCAAGCCUGACCCAGCAACUCCGCGUGAGGGAUGAAGGCCUUCGGGUCGUAAACCUCUGUCGGGAGGGAAGAAACGCCGCGAGGCGAACAGUCUCGCGGUUUGACGGUACCUCCAAAGGAAGCGCCGGCUAACUCUGUGCCAGCAGCCGCGGUAAUACAGAGGGCGCAAGCGUUGUUCGGAAUCAUUGGGCGUAAAGCGGGUGUAGGCGGCUUGGCAAGUCGGGUGUGAAAUCCCUGGGCUCAACCCAGGAACUGCACUCGAAACUGCCUCGCUAGAGUCCCGGAGAGGGUGGCGGAAUUCCCGGUGUAGAGGUGAAAUUCGUAGAUAUCGGGAGGAACACCAGUGGCGAAGGCGGCCACCUGGACGGUGACUGACGCUCAGACCCGAAAGCGUGGGUAGCACACAGGAUUAGAUACCCUGGUAGUUCCACGCCGUAAACUUUGGGUGCUCGACGUAGCGGGUAUUGACCCCUGCUGUGUCCAAGCUAACGCGAGAAGCACCCCGCCCUGGGGAGUACGGUCGCAAGACUA